AUCACUCCCCUUCGGGGGUGUGGAGUUCUGGGGCUGCGUGGGAACUUCGCUGGUAGUAGUCAAGCGAAGGGGUGACGCAGGAAGGUAGCCGUACCAGUCAGUGGUAACACUGGGGCAAGCCGGUAGGGAGAGCGAUAGGCAAAUCCGUCGCUCACUAAUCCUGAGAGGUGACGCAUAGCCGGUUGAGGCGAAUUCGGUGAUCCUCUGCUGCCAAGAAAAGCCUCUAGCGAGCACACACACGGCCCGUACCCCAAACCGACACAGGUGGUCAGGUAGAGCAUACCAAGGCGUACGAGAUAACUAUGGUUAAGGAACUCGGCAAAAUGCCCCCGGAACUUCGGGAGAAGGGGGACCGGAAUAUCGUGAACACCCUUGCGGUGGGAGCGGGAUCCGGUCGCAGAAACCAGUGAGGAGCGACUGUUUACUAAAAACACAGGUCCGUGCGAAGUCGCAAGACGAUGUAUACGGACUGACGCCUGACCGGUGCUGGAA
This 492-nucleotide ribosomal RNA is filed under the name Enterococcus faecium. RNAcentral describes it as "partial 23S ribosomal RNA". It matches the Rfam family "Bacterial large subunit ribosomal RNA", at positions 1432 to 1874 of the family's 2925-position model. Lineage: Bacteria; Bacillati; Bacillota; Bacilli; Lactobacillales; Enterococcaceae. The record is from RNAcentral.